Sphaeramia orbicularis (orbiculate cardinalfish) is the source of this 146-nucleotide long non-coding RNA. RefSeq lists it as uncharacterized. NCBI's taxonomy places the organism in Eukaryota, Metazoa, Chordata, Actinopteri, Kurtiformes, Apogonidae. The transcript is spliced from 2 exons. The record is from RefSeq and is a predicted model, not a curated record.
AGGAGACUUGGAAAUGACUCUGGAUUGAGUGCCGCAGAGAUAAGUGACGGUGAUGAAGACUCUGAUCCUGACCUUAGAGAAAAGUGAGAAGUGACUCUAGCAGAGGCAGAGAGCUCCAAGGGUACAAGCAGAAAGGUUUCUGGUGA